Molecule: long non-coding RNA, 995 nt
Filed under: Lactuca sativa (garden lettuce)
Lineage: Eukaryota; Viridiplantae; Streptophyta; Magnoliopsida; Asterales; Asteraceae
Description: long non-coding RNA (LSAT_LNC004827)
Source: RNAcentral
GGACAAGACUCUUCAUUUUUUGUAACCAUUGCCAACUUUUAUGAGUUUUAUAAAACUUAAAUGUGACAUUUCAUGUAACUUGAGGACAAGUUACACAAACACAUUUUAGAAUUAUCUCUUAGAUUAAGAUGGAUUGAAAAACGCAUAAUCAAUUAACUUUUCUAUUAAUCUAAGCAACUCAUUAGAACAAGAUAAUUCAAAUCAAACUUUUUCAUGUAAUUAGUCUAAACCUUAAACUAAUACAAAAACUAAAUCUAUUGACAAUUAUCUUUGAAAUUGGAUUAGCAUGCACUACAAGAAAAAUCCAAAAUAACUACGGAAAAAUUCGAUGGAUUGAAAAACGCAUAAUCAAUUAACUUUUCUAUUAAUCUAAGCAACUCAUUAGAACAAGAUAAUUCAAAUCAAACUUUUUCAUGUAAUUAGUCUAAACCUUAAACUAAUACAAAAACUAAAUCUAUUGACAAUUAUCUUUGAAAUUGGAUUAGCAUGCACUACAAGAAAAAUCCAAAAUAACUACGGAAAAAUUCCGUAGCUAAAACAUGAUAUUCCAUAGUUAAGUGUGAUUAGAGCCAGAAUUUGCUACGGAACCCAUUUGUUGCAAAAAUCUUCAUUACUAAACUAUUGUUACGGAAUCCGUAGGACCUUCGCGGCGGAUUUUGCAACACACUUAUUCUGUAGUAAAAUAGCUAUAAACUAUAUUCGUAGCAGUAACGUAGCAAAUUAACUAUAAUUGUUGUCCGUAGCAAAUUACCUACGACCCGAUCUGUAGUUAAUCUGUCACAAAUUAACUACAAUUGUUUUCUGUAGCACAUCCGUAGCAAAUUACUUACGAUCCAUAGUUAGUCUGUCACAAAUUAACUACAAACCAUCCCCGUAGCUAAUUUCCAUAGCAAAUCCACUACGGGUAAUGUCAUAGCAAAUAUUCCAUAGUGAAUCUACUACGAUCUAAUUAUGUAACAGAUAGUUGGUAGUAGAUUUCAUGGUAGUGGUUUCAA